Molecule: ribosomal RNA, 1534 nt
Filed under: Bacteroidetes bacterium GWE2_42_42
Lineage: Bacteria; Pseudomonadati; Bacteroidota
Also listed under: 1 other name
Description: bacterial SSU rRNA
Rfam family: Bacterial small subunit ribosomal RNA
Source: RNAcentral
UUUACUAUGGAGAGUUUGAUCCUGGCUCAGGAUGAACGCUAGCGGCAGGCUUAAUACAUGCAAGUCGAGGGGCAGCACGGGUAGCAAUACCUGGUGGCGACCGGCGCACGGGUGCGUAACGCGUAUGUAAUCUACCAUUAACCGGGGAAUAGCCCAGAGAAAUCUGGAUUAAUGCCCCAUAGUAUUAUCGAAAGGCAUCUUUUGAUAAUUAAAGCUCAGGCGGUUUUUGAUGAACAUGCGUGUCAUUAGUUUGUUGGUGAGGUAACGGCUCACCAAGACUACGAUGACUAGGGGGUCUGAGAGGAUGAUCCCCCACACUGGUACUGAGACACGGACCAGACUCCUACGGGAGGCAGCAGUAAGGAAUAUUGGGCAAUGGAGGCAACUCUGACCCAGCCAUGCCGCGUGAAGGAUUGACGGCCCUCUGGGUUGUAAACUUCUUUUGUACGGGAAUAACCCUCCGAACGUGUUCGGAGCUGAAGGUACCGUAAGAAUAAGGAUCGGCUAACUCCGUGCCAGCAGCCGCGGUAAUACGGAGGAUCCAAGCGUUAUCCGGAUUUACUGGGUUUAAAGGGUGCGUAGGCGGAUUGAUAAGUCAGUGGUGAAAGCCUGCAGCUUAACUGCAGAACUGCCAUUGAUACUGCCAGUCUGGAGUAUGGUUGAGGUAGCUGGAAUGUGUCAUGUAGCGGUGAAAUGCUUAGAGAUGACACAGAACACCGACGGCGAAGGCAGGUUACCAACCCAUUACUGACGCUGAGGCACGAAAGCGUGGGGAUCAAACAGGAUUAGAUACCCUGGUAGUCCACGCCGUAAACUAUGAUUACUAGUUGUUGGCGAUACAUUGCCAGUGACUGAGCGAAAGCAUUAAGUAAUCCACCUGGGGAGUACGUUCGCAAGAAUGAAACUCAAAGGAAUUGACGGGGGCCCGCACAAGCGGAGGAGCAUGUGGUUUAAUUCGAUGAUACGCGAGGAACCUUACCUGGGCUCGAACGUAUAGGGAAUUAUGCCGAAAGGUAUAAGCCAGCAAUGGCCGUAUACGAGGUGCUGCAUGGUUGUCGUCAGCUCGUGCCGUGAGGUGUUAGGUUAAGUCCUGCAACGAGCGCAACCCUUACCUUUAGUUGCCAGCAUGUAAUGAUGGGGACUCUAAAGGAACUGCCUACGCAAGUAGUGAGGAAGGUGGGGAUGACGUCAAAUCAGCACGGCCCUUAUGUCCAGGGCGACACACGUGCUACAAUGGCCGAUACAAAGGGCAGCUACCAGGUGACUGGAUGCGAAUCUUUAAAAUCGGUCUCAGUUCGGAUCGGAGUCUGCAACUCGACUCCGUGAAGUCGGAUUCGCUAGUAAUCGCGCAUCAGCCAUGGCGCGGUGAAUACGUUCCCGGGCCUUGUACACACCGCCCGUCAAGCCAUGGAAGUUGGGGGUGCCUAAAGUUCGUGACCGCAAGGAGCGACCUAGGGUAAAACCAAUGACUGGGGCUAAGUCGUAACAAGGUAGCCGUACCGGAAGGUGCGGCUGGAAUACCUCCUUUCUGGAG